GUCUUCUUGGUUUAAAUAAGAAGUCUGACCUGCCCGGUGAAAAAUUUUUAACGGCCGCGGUAUUCUUGACCGUGCAAAGGUAGCAUAAUCAUUAGUCUUUUAAUAGGAGGCUGGUAUGAAGGGUUUGACGAGGAGUUGACUGUCUCAUUUAAUUUUAUAUUAGAAUUUAACUUUUCAGUUAAAAGGCUGAAAUUUUGUUGGAAGACGAGAAGACCCUAUAGAGUUUUAUAUUCUUUGUGAUAAUUAUAUAUAAUAUUUAAUUUAUUAUUAAGAGUAUUUUGUUGGGGUGACAAAAAUAUAUAAUUAACUUUUUUAUCUUUUUAUCAUUGAUAUAUGUUUAUUAGAUCCAAUCUUAUUGAUUGUUAGAUUAAGUUACC
This 377-nucleotide ribosomal RNA is filed under the name Gomphidia abbotti. RNAcentral describes it as "partial 16S ribosomal RNA". The stretch from base 1 to 191 matches the Rfam family "Archaeal large subunit ribosomal RNA", at positions 1921 to 2143 of the family's 2987-position model. The record is from RNAcentral. Lineage: Eukaryota; Metazoa; Arthropoda; Insecta; Odonata; Gomphidae.